CCAGACUCCUACGGGAGGCAGCAGUGGGGGAUAUUGCACAAUGGGGGGAACCCUGAUGCAGCGACGCCGCGUGAGUGAAGAAGUAUUUCGGUAUGUAAAGCUCUAUCAGCAGGGAAGAAAGAGACGAAAGUCUUGUGACAGUACCUGACUAAGAAGCCCCGGCUAACUACGUGCCAGCAGCCGCGGUAAUACGUAGGGGGCAAGCGUUAUCCGGAUUUACUGGGUGUAAAGGGAGCGUAGGCGGUUAGAUAAGUCUGAUGUGAAAGCCCACAGCUUAACUGUGGGAUUGCAUUGGAAACUAUAGAACUAGAGUGUCGGAGAGGUAAGUGGAAUUCCUAGUGUAGCGGUGAAAUGCGUAGAUAUUAGGAGGAACACCAGUGGCGAAGGCGGCUUACUGGACGAUGACUGACGCUGAGGCUCGAAAGCGUGGGGAGCAAACAGGAUUAGAUACCCCAGUA
RNAcentral lists this ribosomal RNA (458 nucleotides) under uncultured bacterium. RNAcentral describes it as "partial 16S ribosomal RNA". It matches the Rfam family "Bacterial small subunit ribosomal RNA", at positions 331 to 792 of the family's 1533-position model. The record is from RNAcentral.